This 253-nucleotide ribosomal RNA is filed under the name uncultured bacterium. Its description in RNAcentral is "partial 16S ribosomal RNA". It matches the Rfam family "Bacterial small subunit ribosomal RNA", at positions 524 to 776 of the family's 1533-position model. The record is from RNAcentral.
UACGUAGGGCGCGAGCGUUGUCCGGAAUUAUUGGGCGUAAAGAGCUCGUAGGCGGCCUGUUGCGUCCGCUUUGAAAUCCCAGGGCUCAACCCUGGGCGUGCAGUGGAUACGGGCAGGCUGGAGGCAGGCAGGGGAGAACGGAAUUCCCGGUGUAGCGGUGAAAUGCGCAGAUAUCGGGAAGAACACCCGUGGCGAAGGCGGCUCUCUGGGACGGUACUGACGCUGAGACGCGAAAGCGUGGGGAGCGAACAGG